AAAUUGAAGAGUUUGAUCAUGGCUCAGAUUGAACGCUGGCGGCAGGCCUAACACAUGCAAGUCGAACGGUAACAGGAAGCAGCUUGCUGCUUUGCUGACGAGUGGCGGACGGGUGAGUAAUGUCUGGGAAACUGCCUGAUGGAGGGGGAUAACCACUGGAAACGGUGGCUAAUACCGCAUAACGUCGCAAGACCAAAGAGGGGGACCUUCGGGCCUCUUGCCAUCAGAUGUGCCCAGAUGGGAUUAGCUUGUUGGUGAGGUAACGGCUCACCAAGGCGACGAUCCCUAGCUGGUCUGAGAGGAUGACCAGCCACACUGGAACUGAGACACGGUCCAGACUCCUACGGGAGGCAGCAGUGGGGAAUAUUGCACAAUGGGCGCAAGCCUGAUGCAGCCAUGCCGCGUGUAUGAAGAAGGCCUUCGGGUUGUAAAGUACUUUCAGCGGGGAGGAAGGUGUUGUGGUUAAUAACC
RNAcentral lists this ribosomal RNA (471 nucleotides) under Salmonella enterica. RNAcentral describes it as "bacterial SSU rRNA". It matches the Rfam family "Bacterial small subunit ribosomal RNA", at positions 1 to 468 of the family's 1533-position model. Lineage: Bacteria; Pseudomonadati; Pseudomonadota; Gammaproteobacteria; Enterobacterales; Enterobacteriaceae. The record is from RNAcentral.